GACGAACGCUGGCGGCGUGCUUAACACAUGCAAGUCGAACGGAAAGGCCCUGCUUUUGUGGGGUGCUCGAGUGGCGAACGGGUGAGUAACACGUGAGUAACCUGCCCUUGACUUUGGGAUAACUUCAGGAAACUGGGGCUAAUACCGGAUAGGAGCUCCUGCUGCAUGGUGGGGGUUGGAAAGUUUCGGCGGUUGGGGAUGGACUCGCGGCUUAUCAGCUUGUUGGUGGGGUAGUGGCUUACCAAGGCUUCGACGGGUAGCCGGCCUGAGAGGGUGACCGGCCACAUUGGGACUGAGAUACGGCCAAGACUGCUACGUGAGGCAGCAGUGGGGAAUAGUGCACAAUGGGCGGAAGCCUGAUGCAGCAACGCCGCGUGCGGGAUGACGGCCGUCGGGUUGGAAACCGCUUUCGCCUGGGACGAAGCGUGAGUGACGGUAAUGGGUAAAGAAGCACCGGCUAACUACGUG
RNAcentral lists this ribosomal RNA (468 nucleotides) under uncultured bacterium. RNAcentral's name for it is "partial 16S ribosomal RNA". It matches the Rfam family "Bacterial small subunit ribosomal RNA", at positions 28 to 507 of the family's 1533-position model. The record is from RNAcentral.